CGGCUUUCGGGCUCGGCGCAGUCUGCGGGCGGGAGGGCGCCGGCGAGGUGGCGAGGGCGGCUGGCGCGGGGGCGCGGGAGCCCCGGCUAAGCCCGGGGACGGGAGGGCGCCCCCUCCCAGCGCCCGAACCCAGGCAACUUCCCGCCGCCCGGGCAGGAGUUUCUCCGUAGCCCACGGACAUCCGGGAGGCUUGUGGAGGGCAGGCGGGUAACCCCCACUCCCACCCCACCUUUAUCCAGGGGCAGCCAGAGGAGCCAGCAGGUCGGGACUCGCUGAGGGGGCUCCACGCGGGGCCUCCCACGCACAGACAAAAAGAACAGCGUAUGACUCAGUUAAGGAGGUGGCAGUGUGGACAAAACACACAGAGAGCAAGAGGAUGAGCCUUCCACUAAAGGGACAGCGUCUGCUAUGUUGUCCAGGCUGGUCUCAAAUUCCUUGCCUCAAGCGAUCCAACUGCCUCAGCCUCCCGAGUCACUGGGAUUACAGGCAUGAAGACAUUGUUUUCAAGGGAUCACUCUGCUUUGUGGAGACUAGACUGUGAGGAGCAAGCCUCGAAAGGGGAGAGCUGUUUCGAGGUUCUCCACUGCAGCCUGCUCCACAGCCACGCCCUCCCAUCCAUGGCUACACACUCACAUUCUGGGCCUCUUCCCUGGACCAGAUUGCACAGCAGGGCCGCUCUCUCCAGUGCCUCCAGCUGGCCCCUGCUGACAAGUCCGUGUUGUGUCAUGUUGGGAGUCUGGGCAAGGCACGAGGGCCCCUCUCUAGCAGGUCCCGAUGGCUCCUCCACACCUUCAGGAAAAGCAAGAGAUAAACCAUUGCAUGCUGAGCUCUGCAGGGAACUGGAGGCGGACACCAUCCAUUCUGCAAACCUGCAAUGGUGACACUUCUGGAAUCUCCUUGCCUCUUCCAGGGCUGCAGCCUCUAAGGCAGUGGGCAAUGUCAAGUGAGAGACUCCACAGAUAAGAAAAAUAAAGGAGUGGCUCAAUUACAUGCCAGGGAAAACCGCUUUGGUGGAUGAAGGUCACACAGCUCUCCCAGCAUUCUGUCCUCUGUAUACAGAUGAUCUCCUUCUGAAAUCCUUUUGGGGAUGACCCCCUUCCACACCAUGGACACUUCUGGGUGGGUUGUCACUCAAGAGGUCCUGCCCUCUUCUGCCCACUGGGUGGACACAAGAAUUGAAAUCUGUAAAGGAUACUGAGAUUGGGAACAAAAUAAUUGAUGCUGAUUGAUCCCAGCAGUGUAUGGCGAGAAGAUGACAAGCUUCCACUGCCUGUAUCACUGACUUGCCUAAUGUCUGCCCUGCCCUGGCCUGGAUCUUAACCGCGCCCUUCAUUCUGUGAACUACCCCCAAAUCCUUCAAAUAAAGUCCUUGAUUGCUUGUUAGAGUCAAUAAUAUUGCUUGCUGAGGAUCCAGAGACCUCUAGAGAGAGGAGGUGGAAUUGCACACCCUGGGAAAGAGGAAGGUGUGAGUUACCAUCCCUGGGGGAGGCCCCACAGGUGUCAGCCCUCAGGGGGCAGGGGACUGACAGGGGACAGAGC
This 1539-nucleotide long non-coding RNA is filed under the name Homo sapiens (human). RNAcentral's name for it is "HSALNT0128713". The record is from RNAcentral. Lineage: Eukaryota; Metazoa; Chordata; Mammalia; Primates; Hominidae.